UGACGAGGCACUACGGUGCUGAAGCAACAAAUGCCCUGCUUCCAGGAAAAGCCUCUAAGCAUCAGGUAACAUCAAAUCGUACCCCAAACCGACACAGGUGGUCAGGUAGAGAAUACCAAGGCGCUUGAGAGAACUCGGGUGAAGGAACUAGGCAAAAUGGUGCCGUAACUUCGGGAGAAGGCACGCUGAUAUGUAGGUGAAGUCCCUCGCGGAUGGAGCUGAAAUCAGUCGAAGAUACCAGCUGGCUGCAACUGUUUAUUAAAAACACAGCACUGUGCAAACACGAAAGUGGACGUAUACGGUGUGACGCCUGCCCGGUGCCGGAAGGUUAAUUGAUGGGGUUAGCGGUAACGCGAAGCUCUUGAUCGAAGCCCCGGUAAACGGCGGCCGUAACUAUAACGGUCCUAAGGUAGCGAAAUUCCUUGUCGGGUAAGUUCCGACCUGCACGAAUGGCGUAAUGAUGGCCAGGCUGUCUCCACCCGAGACUCAGUGAAAUUGAACUCGCUGUGAAGAUGCAGUGUACCCGCGGCAAGACGGAAAGACCCCGUGAACCUUUACUAUAGCUUGACACUGAACAUUGAGCCUUGAUGUGUAGGAUAGGUGGGAGGCUUUGAAGUGUGGACGCCAGUCUGCAUGGAGCCGACCUUGAAAUACCACCCUUUAAUGUUUGAUGUUCUAACGUUGACCCGUAAUCCGGGUUGCGGACAGUGUCUGGUGGGUAGUUUGACUGGGGCGGUCUCCUCCUAAAGAGUAACGGAGGAGCACGAAGGUUGGCUAAUCCUGGUCGGACAUCAGGAGGUUAGUGCAAUGGCAUAAGCCAGCUUGACUGCGAGCGUGACGGCGCGAGCAGGUGCGAAAGCAGGUCAUAGUGAUCCGGUGGUUCUGAAUGGAAGGGCCAUCGCUCAACGGAUAAAAGGUACUCCGGGGAUAACAGGCUGAUACCGCCCAAGAGUUCAUAUCGACGGCGGUGUUUGGCACCUCGAUGUCGGCUCAUCACAUCCUGGGGCUGAAGUAGGUCCCAAGGGUAUGGCUGUUCGCCAUUUAAAGUGGUACGCGAGCUGGGUUUAGAACGUCGUGAGACAGUUCGGUCCCUAUCUGCCGUGGGCGCUGGAGAACUGAGGGGGGCUGCUCCUAGUACGAGAGGACCGGAGUGGACGCAUCACUGGUGUUCGGGUUGUCAUGCCAAUGGCACUGCCCGGUAGCUAAAUGCGGAAGAGAUAAGUGCUGAAAGCAUCUAAGCACGAAACUUGCCCCGAGAUGAGUUCUCCCUGACUCCUUGAGAGUCCUGAAGGAACGUUGAAGACGACGACGUUGAUAGGCCGGGUGUGUAAGCGCAGCGAUGCGUUGAGCUAACCGGUACUAAUGAACCGUGAGGCUUAACCUU
Molecule: ribosomal RNA, 1384 nt
Filed under: Escherichia coli 1827-70
Lineage: Bacteria; Pseudomonadati; Pseudomonadota; Gammaproteobacteria; Enterobacterales; Enterobacteriaceae
Description: bacterial LSU rRNA
Rfam family: Bacterial large subunit ribosomal RNA
Source: RNAcentral